Molecule: RNA transcript, 2241 nt
Organism: Bombyx mori (domestic silkworm)
Lineage: Eukaryota; Metazoa; Arthropoda; Insecta; Lepidoptera; Bombycidae
Gene name: CDK5 and ABL1 enzyme substrate 2
Exons: 12
Source: RefSeq, a predicted model, not a curated record
CAUACUUAUUAACUCCAUGGUACUUACCCAUUACUACUAUAAAUAAAUAAAAAAAUACAUAGUUUAUAAGUUGCUCAAAAUCUUUAAUAAAUAAAAAAGUAUACAGUUUAAUUAACUUAAAAAGGAGACAGGAUUUAUAUACAAAAAUGCCUAACCAUCGUAAUAAAUAUGAAAAAGCCAGAAGACGAUUAGCUGCUGUUACCUUUCUAUCUAACAUAUCUCUCGACGGCAAACACAAAGAAAAAGAAAUGGAUUUGAUUGACAAUAAGUCGUAUAAAAACGAUAAAGCCAAUGGUCCGUUAAAAACUGUUGAGAUAUCAAACGAUAAAGAAAAUGUUUCAAGGAACAGUGUUCAUGGCCGCAGUAAGAAUCAAUCAAGUCCUCAUCGCCACGGGACAGAUAAUUAUUCAUUAAGUUCAGAUUCAGAAUAUACAACUAAUUUAACUCCAGUGAAAAGUGGAUUGAACUCUAAUUUCAGAGACAGAUGUUCAUCAGGUAAUAUUGAAUCAUCGAAAGAAAAACAUGUAUCAUUGCGUAGUAAGAGAGGACAUCUGGUGUCAAUGGCUGGUAUUAAUACUGAAGAGAAAAGUAGUUCAGAGAGUCUUACAUUUGGUCGCUUCCGUACCAGCAGUACAUGUAUACCUGAGAACCAUAUUAUGAUCAAUGAAGUACGUUUUGUAAGAUCAACGAAAGGAGUUACAUUUAGAGAUGAGCGGCUUGCAUUUGUGCCGGAAAAAAGUGUACCAUGUGCCAUUUUCAGCACCAUUCCAUAUUCAAGAACUACAAGAACUGCCAGAUCUGAGCUUAGAAAGGAUGGAGUGCGCCGAAGAAAUACAUCAGGACCUAGACCCCUAUCUGCAAUAACAGACAAUGGGGUUGAUCCAUUUCAUCUCUUAGGCUUGGAAAAAGAAGAGAAUGGUCAAGACAUAUCUUAUUCUAAACUUCUUGUACCAUCUAGAGUACACACAUUAGAGCAAUACCGUAAAUUGUAUGAUAAUGAGUACAUUGAUAAAAAUUGGAAGAUAUUAAAUCGUCACCCUCAUGUUAUAGCCAGGACUAAGUUAUUGACGAGACACAAGGAUAAAAAAUGGUGUUUCUCGUACGAGUCUUCCCAAAGGACAACGAUAGCGUCCUCACCGCCCCACACUUCUGUUGAUAAUAAAACGUUCGACUGGGACGAAGGAACUUUGCUUUCACAAAAAUAUGUUCACUACUGCCCUAAUGUACUUGAUGAUCCAGAACUGAUUGCGGGGAAACACAGGACUCUGUUAACGUUUACGUCUUACAUGACGUCGAUCAUUGACUAUGUUCGACCGCAGGACUUAAAGAAAGAACUGAAUGAUAAAUUCCGAGAAAAAUUCCCACACAUUAAACUGACUUUGAGUAAACUAAGAAGUAUAAAAAGAGAAAUGCGGAAAAUCGCCAAACACGACAGCGGAGGGAUCGAUUUGUUGUCGGUCGCUCAGGCGUACGUUUAUUUUGAAAAGUUGAUACUCGCGAAUCUUAUAAACAAGGACAACAGGAAAUUAUGUGCCGGAGCGUGCCUGUUACUGUCAGCUAAACUAAACGACGUUAAAGGAGAAAUUCUGAAGGCGUUGAUAGAACGCAUAGAGACGACAUUCAGACUGGACAGGAAGGAUCUGAUGAAGUUCGAAUUCGCCGUUCUAGUGGCCCUCGAGUUUGGUUUGCACGUGCCGCCGUACGAAGUGUUCCCGCACUACCAGCGCUUGCUCCACGACUCGUGACCCUGGCGCCGGCUGGCCCUCGAGCCCUGCGUCCGCGUGUGCCACCGCCGGAGAGCCAGCAUCGUCGCUGCCUGGGUCUAGUCGCCAUUGCAACAUAGUAGCAUAACUGUGUCUUCUGUUCGGUGCAAUUGAAGAGACGUGAGAUUUGAUAAAAAUCAUGACGGUCAAGGUAUUGGCACUUUGUUCCUUCCUGUGUCUCUUGCGGACAUGUUGGGGAAAAGAAAUUGCUGCGCAAAAAUUCCAAAAACAAGAGCAACUUAUGGAGCCUCUUGAUUUUGUCUCCGACGAUCUUAAACAAGAGGGCACAGUUUGGCGACUAGGGCGACCGUGGAAUUUAUGGACAUGGGGUCGUUUAAUGUUAAACAAAGCCUUAGGACACUCUUCAGCCAAUUUCGAGAGUGAUUAUAAAGGACGAGCUGUUCAUCGUGACCGACCAAACGGCAUAUUGAAAAAUAACCUUAAGUUCUUUUUAAAAAUAAAACAAUUCGAUACAUAA